This 240-nucleotide ribosomal RNA is filed under the name uncultured eukaryote. RNAcentral describes it as "partial 18S ribosomal RNA". It matches the Rfam family "Eukaryotic small subunit ribosomal RNA", at positions 1208 to 1456 of the family's 1831-position model. The record is from RNAcentral.
GGAAAUCUCACCAGGCCCGGACACUGGAAGGAUUGACAGAUUGAUAGCUCUUUCUUGAUUCAGUGGGUGGUGGUGCAUGGCCGUUCUUAGUUGGUGGAGUGAUUUGUCUGGUUAAUUCCGAUAACGAACGAGACCCCAACCUGCUAACUAGCCCUCGGGUCCUGCUUCUGUUGGGCCCGACGGAAUGAUUCGCUUCUUAGAGGGACUCGCGGCGCCUAGCCGCACGAAGGGGGGCGAUAA